GGCGUGCCUCGGCAUCAGCGUG
This 22-nucleotide small nuclear RNA is filed under the name Arabidopsis thaliana (thale cress). RNAcentral describes it as "snRNA_08905". Lineage: Eukaryota; Viridiplantae; Streptophyta; Magnoliopsida; Brassicales; Brassicaceae. The record is from RNAcentral.